Long non-coding RNA from Mustela erminea (ermine), 394 nucleotides. RefSeq lists it as uncharacterized. The transcript has 3 exons. The record is from RefSeq and is a predicted model, not a curated record. NCBI's taxonomy places the organism in Eukaryota, Metazoa, Chordata, Mammalia, Carnivora, Mustelidae.
ACAAGUGCAUCGUCGGAUUUGGCCCAUGGGCGCCAGUUCGCCAACCACUGUCACAGACAGGGAGAGCGGGAGAGAGAAUGCGGACGGCAGAGACUCAUCACCGUGAGGUCAACUAAUUGGCCUUGGGUUGUGACUUUCUCCAGGACUGCUUGCCAAAUCAAGAUGAGCAGAGAAAGCGGAUAGUGCCCUGGGCAGGUACCUGGCAAAGUAGCUGACGAUACAGGUCAGGGCGGAAGAGUGUUCAGGACGAAAAGAGAGCAAUCUUCAAGUGCUGACCGCUGGUCAUGCAAGAAGAAAAUAAGAAGUAGUAAGGACAAGAACAAAAAGCCCCUGAACACUACACCGAGAGAUUCAUGAAGAACUCACUAAGCAAACUUAUGUGAAAUAAAAAAUG